This 468-nucleotide ribosomal RNA is filed under the name uncultured microorganism. RNAcentral describes it as "bacterial SSU rRNA". It matches the Rfam family "Bacterial small subunit ribosomal RNA", at positions 9 to 524 of the family's 1533-position model. The record is from RNAcentral.
GAGUUUGAUCGUGGCUCAGAGCGAACGCUGGCGGCAGGCUUAACACAUGCAAGUCGAGCGGGCGUAGCAAUACGUCAGCGGCAGACGGGUGAGUAACACGUGGGAACGUACCUUUGGUUCGGAACAACUGAGGGAAACUUCAGCUAAUACCGGAUAAGCCCUAACGGGGAAAGAUUAUCGCCGAAAGAUCGGCCCGCGUCUGAUUAGCUAGUUGGUGAGGUAAUGGCUCACCAAGGCGACGAUCAGUAGCUGGUCUGAGAGGAUGAUCAGCCACACUGGGACUGAGACACGGCCCAGACUCCUACGGGAGGCAGCAGUGGGGAAUAUUGGACAAGUGGGGGCAACCCUGAUCCAGCCAUGCCGCGUGAGUGAUGAAGGCCCUAGGGUUGUAAAGCUCUUUGUGCGGGAAGAUAAUGACGGUACCGCAAGAAUAAGCCCCGAUAACUUCGUGCCAGCAGCCGCGGUAAC